UUCUUAUAUUUCAGUGUAUAAACUACAAAAACAUUCGUUUGCAUUAUACAUUCGCCAUUUUCCCCAGCAACUGGUCGGUUGUUGUCUGUAGUCUCUCCGUCAAAAAGCCCGUUUUUACGCUUAUAUUUUUGUGAGCGUUCUCCUCAUUACCUAUCAACAACAUGGGCAAAACGAAGAAAACGGUCCCCCCUGAGAGCAGAAGAAGCUCCCAGCGGCUGGCACUGAAACCUAAAGCUGCAAUAGUGGAGAAGAAAAAACCUGCUGCAAAAAAGGCACCCAAAGCAAAGAAGACCAAACAAGCUGAAAAUGGGAACACCAAGGCUGAGGAGCCAAAGGCCGAAGCCACUGAAGCCAAAUGAAUAACAGUUGAUGUGCUCACUCUGUGUACUUGGUGAUUGUACAGUUUUAAAUAAGUAUUUUUUACCAAGUUUUAUAUUACAAAUGUCAUUUAUAGGUUUGUUUUGGGCUUGCACUUGAUGUAACAAAACUUGUUGUCACAUUCAUAUCCAUUUAAAAAUGAUUACCGUCCAUAUCUUGUAGAAGUGGCAUUUUUAGUUUGUCUAAUUCAUUUUUUUAAACUGCUGAGUAAUAGAUAAUUUCCAACAAGUUGGAAUUUAAAUCUAAUUUUAAACAUUAUAAGGCAGCUACAGCAUAUUGUUAAAAUCUUUAGGGAGAAUAGGAAUUUUGCCUUUCAUCUCCUUGUAUUUUAAUGUUGAACUAAUAAAAAAAAUUGCUUACCAAAUGCAUUGAAACACUGUAUGUUGACAUGAAAUCUAGUCAUUGAAAAUGCCACAAAAAAAAAACAUGUUAUUAGGUCAAAGGCUUGGUACAUCCCAAAAACACGUAUGAUGUGAACCUGGUCAUCUGAUGAAAAGUUAUGUUAAGUUAUGUUUCUGUUAGGGGGGGAAAAGGAAGCUUUUCUGACUUAAAUGGUUGAUCUAAAUGUUCUUGAUUAAAAUUUUUCAAAAUGUC
Long non-coding RNA from Micropterus salmoides (largemouth bass), 972 nucleotides. RefSeq lists it as uncharacterized. Lineage: Eukaryota; Metazoa; Chordata; Actinopteri; Centrarchiformes; Centrarchidae. The record is from RefSeq and is a predicted model, not a curated record. The transcript is spliced from 6 exons.